RNAcentral lists this ribosomal RNA (252 nucleotides) under uncultured bacterium. Its description in RNAcentral is "partial 16S ribosomal RNA". It matches the Rfam family "Bacterial small subunit ribosomal RNA", at positions 524 to 775 of the family's 1533-position model. The record is from RNAcentral.
CACGUAGGGCGCAAGCGUUGUCCGGAAUUAUUGGGCGUAAAGAGCUCGUAGGCGGUCUGUUGCGUCCGCUGUGAAAACUCGGGGCUUAACCCCGAGCCUGCAGUGGAUACGGGCAGACUAGAGGUAGGUAGGGGAGAAUGGAAUUCCCGGUGUAGCGGUGAAAUGCGUAGAUAUCAGGAGGAACACCUGUGGCGAAAGCGGCUCACUGGACCACAACUGACGCUGAUGCACGAAAGCUAGGGGAGCAAACAG